CACUAAAUUAAAAAUUCAGUUAGUCCAGUACCAAAGCAUAGUGAGUUGCUUGCAAGUCACUGAGGUGAUCUCAGGUCUAAGGGACACUUAUACCUAUAUCCCAUCAGAGACAUUCUCGACAGUAGAAUGCUCUGGAGUUGGUCACGUUCAAUGAUGAUGUACCCUUACAUCUCAUCUGUAUGCCAUACCAGUGUCUCCAC
RNAcentral lists this long non-coding RNA (200 nucleotides) under Elaeis guineensis (African oil palm). Its description in RNAcentral is "long non-coding RNA (EGUI_LNC081948)". The record is from RNAcentral. Lineage: Eukaryota; Viridiplantae; Streptophyta; Magnoliopsida; Arecales; Arecaceae.